CACGCAGUAAACGAUGAAUACUAGCUGUAUGCGAUACACCGUAUGUGGCACAGCGAAAGCGUUAAGUAUUCCACCUGGGGAGUACGUUCGCAAGAAUGAAACUCAAAGGAAUUGACGGGGGCCCGCACAAGCGGAGGAACAUGUGGUUUAAUUCGAUGAUACGCGAGGAACCUUACCCGGGCUUGAAAUGCAGACGACCGACAGGGAAACUUGUCUUCCAGCAAUGGCGUCUGUGUAGGUGC
RNAcentral lists this ribosomal RNA (242 nucleotides) under uncultured Paludibacter sp. RNAcentral describes it as "partial 16S ribosomal RNA". It matches the Rfam family "Bacterial small subunit ribosomal RNA", at positions 796 to 1041 of the family's 1533-position model. The record is from RNAcentral. Lineage: Bacteria; Pseudomonadati; Bacteroidota; Bacteroidia; Bacteroidales; Paludibacteraceae.